RNAcentral lists this ribosomal RNA (464 nucleotides) under Vreelandella stevensii. Its description in RNAcentral is "partial 16S ribosomal RNA". It matches the Rfam family "Bacterial small subunit ribosomal RNA", at positions 338 to 795 of the family's 1533-position model. Lineage: Bacteria; Pseudomonadati; Pseudomonadota; Gammaproteobacteria; Oceanospirillales; Halomonadaceae. The record is from RNAcentral.
CCUACGGGAGGCAGCAGUGGGGAAUAUUGGACAAUGGGCGAAAGCCUGAUCCAGCCAUGCCGCGUGUGUGAAGAAGGCCUUCGGGUUGUAAAGCACUUUCAGUGGGGAAGAAAGCCUUGGGGCUAAUACCCUCGAGGAAGGACAUCACCCACAGAAGAAGCACCGGCUAACUCCGUGCCAGCAGCCGCGGUAAUACGGAGGGUGCGAGCGUUAAUCGGAAUUACUGGGCGUAAAGCGCGCGUAGGCGGUCUGAUAAGCCGGUUGUGAAAGCCCCGGGCUCAACCUGGGAACGGCAUCCGGAACUGUCAGGCUAGAGUGCAGGAGAGGAAGGUAGAAGUCCCGGUGUAGCGGUGAAAUGCGUAGAGAUCGGGAGGAAUACCAGUGGCGAAGGCGGCCUUCUGGACUGACACUGACGCUGAGGUGCGAAAGCGUGGGUAGCAAACAGGAUUAGAUACCGGGUAGUC